GUCUAUGGCCAUGCUACUCUGAACAAGCCUGAUUCCAUCUGUUCUCGGAAGCUAAGCAGAGUUGGGCCUGGUUAGUACUUGGAUGGGAGACCACCUUGGAAUACCAGGUGCUGUAGGCA
RNAcentral lists this ribosomal RNA (119 nucleotides) under Pteropus alecto (black flying fox). Lineage: Eukaryota; Metazoa; Chordata; Mammalia; Chiroptera; Pteropodidae. The record is from RNAcentral.